GGAAUAUUGGACAAUGGGUGAAAGCCUGAUCCAGCCAUCCCGCGUGAAGGAUGACGGUCCUAUGGAUUGUAAACUUCUUUUGUAUAGGGAUAAACCUAGAUACGUGUAUCUAGCUGAAGGUACUAUACGAAUAAGCACCGGCUAACUCCGUGCCAGCAGCCGCGGUAAUACGGAGGGUGCAAGCGUUAUCCGGAUUUAUUGGGUUUAAAGGGUCCGUAGGCGGACCGAUAAGUCAGUGGUGAAAUCUCAUAGCUCAACUAUGAAACUGCCAUUGAUACUGUCGGUCUUGAGUAAAUUUGAAGUGGCUGGAAUAAGUAGUGUAGCGGUGAAAUGCAUAGAUAUUACUUAGAACACCAAUUGCGAAGGCAGGUCACUAAGAUUUAACUGACGCUGAGGGACGAAAGCGUGGGUAGCGAACAGGAUUAGAUACCCGUG
This 435-nucleotide ribosomal RNA is filed under the name uncultured Chryseobacterium sp. RNAcentral describes it as "bacterial SSU rRNA". It matches the Rfam family "Bacterial small subunit ribosomal RNA", at positions 358 to 790 of the family's 1533-position model. The record is from RNAcentral. Lineage: Bacteria; Pseudomonadati; Bacteroidota; Flavobacteriia; Flavobacteriales; Weeksellaceae.